Molecule: long non-coding RNA, 364 nt
Organism: Telopea speciosissima
Lineage: Eukaryota; Viridiplantae; Streptophyta; Magnoliopsida; Proteales; Proteaceae
Exons: 4
Source: RefSeq, a predicted model, not a curated record
UUCUUCGAAUAGCUUUCUGUGAGUCGUAGAGUUUUUGUCUCUCCAUUCUUUAUUUCUUUAGGCUUCUGUGGGAAUUGUGGUUGAGUUUAGGGUCUUCGAAUUUACGCUUUUGAUUCUCUGAAAUCUUGGGACGGCUCAAGCUUUCAAAGAAUGGUGUAAGCAAAUGGCCAUCAUAACUCAUUCGUAUUUCACAACCACUAUCAUCACAACUGUUGGAUGUUCACUAAAGAUAAUUUGCCCAUAUCAUUUGUAUUUGAACCCAAAUCUCGUUGUUAAGCAGUAUGAGUUCUGGCGCUUGAUUACAAAUUUCUUUUACUUUGGGAAAAUGGAUUUGGACUUCCUCUUCCACAUUUCCAGUCCAAUG